AUUUAAACGGGGCUGAUUCACUUUCACCGUGGCCUGAGGCUAUCAAACUUGAACUGCAGGUAAAACUUUACAGAGCCCUCCAGAUGAACCUACAGCCCGGUCACUGUGUUAGCCUGUAGAGAGAGCAGCAGCAGCAGCAGCAGCAGCAGCAUGCAUGCAUUGUCCCAGGAUCUAUUACAGUAUAUGGGUGCCCCCUAGCGUAUGAAUUUUUUUUGCUUCAAAUAAGAUUCAAUUUAGAGGAGCCGUCGGACACGGAAACCGAUUCAGUCUGCUCUCUCGCAUCGACCAAACUAACGAGCACCAUUUUAAACUGAUGACUGUUUGUUUAAAUUCUGUUUUACAUGACUUGGACGGCAAACCUUUGAGAGUUGCCAAAGUUGGAUUUACUUUUUGCCACUUCAGGCAGUCCCAGCGGUGAUCCCGUGAACAUGGAAAGUCUGUAAAUAAAAUACUCCGCAAGGUACUGGCUUAUCGAGGACCCAGUUUUGCUUCAAAUGGAGCAGAGUUAUGCACCAGGCCCAUGUGUCCCAAGCGACCCAGUUUGAAUUGGCUCAAUUCAUUAAGCCAGGACCCGUGCACAAGCCCGAGUUCACACGGCGAAGACACUUGCAACAAACAGCUGCUGCACAUUCCUGAUGGGAGGGCCAGGCAGAUGUCCAAGGAAAAUCAAAGGGAGAGACAGGGGAAAGUUUACGAGCCAGCGUUUGCCAACCUCAAUGAGAAGCUCUUCAUCCCCUCCUCAAAGACAGGGUGCAGCUGGCGGAACUCGCCGCCCUGUCCUGUUUGGGGCUCCCCUGGUUCUCCCUCUCCCACUCAAAACACUGCAAGGACUCAACAUGCUGACAAUAUCAGUUGUCUCCUCUGUCCUCUCCAUUUGAACAACAACAACUUUGGCCUUUAGCAGAGGUGGUCUGGGGUUCAUUACAUUUUAUUCCCUUGACAUUGUUAAAGUGAACUAAUUCAGAUUUUUUUUAAAAAAGAGAGUUGCAAAUGCAUGACUACAAAAGACAAAAAAAAAUAAGUGUGUGUACAGUUAAUGGCAUAAAUUUAAUAAAGUUAAGUCAAGCAGGGGAUGGUUCUGGUUUUUAAAGGCACUCUCUUUAAUUUGUAAAAAUACAUUUUCAUAGGUUAUUGACUGUUUUUGAAAUUUCUUUUUGUAUUUGUCAGAUGGAUUUAAGUGGAAAGAUUUCUACAUUUUAUCAAAGUGCUCACAAAAAUGUUAACAACUGCUCAUGUUGGUUUUUGCAUGUGAUCUUUCUAUGAUUUUCUUUGCAAGUAACGCUAAGUCAGGAUGUGUAGCUCAAUAUAUUUCAGGUCCUUGAAAUAG
Molecule: long non-coding RNA, 1327 nt
Organism: Oreochromis aureus
Lineage: Eukaryota; Metazoa; Chordata; Actinopteri; Cichliformes; Cichlidae
Source: Ensembl